This is a small nuclear RNA of Meriones unguiculatus (Mongolian gerbil), 172 nucleotides long. Its record names the gene U1. It matches the Rfam family "U1 spliceosomal RNA". Rfam says of the family: U1 is a small nuclear RNA (snRNA) component of the spliceosome (involved in pre-mRNA splicing). Its 5' end forms complementary base pairs with the 5' splice junction, thus defining the 5' donor site of an intron. NCBI's taxonomy places the organism in Eukaryota, Metazoa, Chordata, Mammalia, Rodentia, Muridae. The record is from Ensembl.
GUACUCACCUAGCAGAGGAGAUGCCAUGAUCACGAAGUUGGUUUUUCCAGGGCCCCAGAGCGAGGCUCAUCCAUUGCACUCCAGAUGUGCUGACUCCUGUGAUUUCCCCAAAUGCUGGAAACUCUACUGCAUAAUUUGUGGUAGUGGGGGACUGUGUUUGUGCUCUCCCCUG